CCUACGGGAUGCACCAGUGGUGAAUAUUGGACAAUGGGCGAAAGCCUGAUCCAGCAAUGCCGCGUGUGUGAAGAAGGUCUUCGGAUUGUAAAGCACUUUCGACGGGGACGAUGAUGACGGUAGCCGUAGAAGAAGCCCCGGCUAACUUCGUGCCAGCAGCCGCGGUAAUACUAAGGGGGCUAGCGUUGCUCGGAAUGACUGGGCGUAAAGGGCGCGUAGGCGGUUUAUGCAGUCAGAUGUGAAAUCCCCGGGUUUAACCUGGGAACUGCAUUUGAGACGCAUAGACUAGAGGUCGAGAGAGGGUUGUGGAAUUCCCAGUGUAGAGGUGAAAUUCAUAGAUAUUGGGAAGAACACCGGUGGCAAAGGCGGCAACCUGGCUCGAUACUGACGCUGAGGCGCGAAAGCGUGGGGGGCAAACAGGAUUAGAUACCCUCGUAGUC
This 440-nucleotide ribosomal RNA is filed under the name uncultured bacterium. Its description in RNAcentral is "bacterial SSU rRNA". It matches the Rfam family "Bacterial small subunit ribosomal RNA", at positions 338 to 795 of the family's 1533-position model. The record is from RNAcentral.